RNAcentral lists this ribosomal RNA (479 nucleotides) under uncultured organism. RNAcentral's name for it is "partial 16S ribosomal RNA". It matches the Rfam family "Bacterial small subunit ribosomal RNA", at positions 331 to 801 of the family's 1533-position model. The record is from RNAcentral.
GUACACUCCUGCGGGAGGCAGCAGUGGGGAAUUUUGGACAAUGGGCGAAAGCCUGAUCCAGCAAUGCCGCGUGAGUGAAGAAGGCCUUCGGGUUGUAAAGCUCUUUUGUCAGGGAAGAAACGGUGAGAGCUAAUAUCUUUUGCUAAUGACGGUACCUGAAGAAUAAGCACCGGCUAACUACGUGCCAGCAGCCGCGGUAAUACGUAGGGUGCAAGCGUUAAUCGGAAUUACUGGGCGUAAAGCGUGCGCAGGCGGUUUUGUAAGUCUGAUGUGAAAUCCCCGGGCCCAACCUGGGAAUUGCAUUGGAGACUGCAAGGCUAGAAUCUGGCAGAGGGGGGUAGAAUUCCACGUGUAGCAGUGAAAUGCGUAGAUAUGUGGAGGAACACCGAUGGCGAAGGCAGCCCCCUGGGUCAAGAUUGACGCUCAUGCACGAAAGCGUGGGGAGCAAACAGGAUUAGAAACCCCAGUAGUCCCAUGAU